UACGUAGGCAGCAAGCGUUGUUCGGAAUUACUGGGCGUAAAGCGUGUGUAGGCGGAUGGGUAAGUACCUUGUGAAAUCCCACGGCUCAACCGUGGAACUGCUCGGUAUACUGCUCGUCUUGAGCCAACUAGGGGCGACCGGAACAAACGGUGGAGCGGUGAAAUGCGUAGAUAUCGUUUGGAACGCCGAUGGUGAAAACAGGUCGCUGGGGUUGUGCUGACGCUGAGACACGAAAGCCAGGGGAGCGAACGGG
Molecule: ribosomal RNA, 253 nt
Filed under: uncultured bacterium
Lineage: Bacteria
Description: partial 16S ribosomal RNA
Rfam family: Bacterial small subunit ribosomal RNA
Source: RNAcentral